GGUUGUCAGGACCUGGAGCCCGUCCAGUGCAAUCCUGACGUCCUGGCUGUUUCCCGGCAGUUUCCCGCUUUCUCUAGAACUCCAGGCAGAUGCAUACUGCCUGCAUGCUGGUUGUAGAAAGAAAAGACCCAUAAGAAAACAGCAUCUAAGAACUUAACAUGACACUGACAUCUCUAGACUUUUAGCCGCGGGCCACCCCUGCUCCUGAGGUCCACAGCAGUGCUUUCAUGCACUUGCCUUAUGCAGAUGAUGAGGCACACUCCAGGGGGCUGCAUGGACUGACAUUCUGCAGAGGUGGGCAACCAGAAUGUCAGGAGAAAGUUGCUAAUGUGGUAAUGGAAUUUGAGCCGGGAAUCAGAGGAAACCCAACAGCCACAGCUGGAAGAU
Molecule: long non-coding RNA, 387 nt
Organism: Octodon degus (degu)
Lineage: Eukaryota; Metazoa; Chordata; Mammalia; Rodentia; Octodontidae
Exons: 3
Source: RefSeq, a predicted model, not a curated record